UGGCAUCUGUGAGCCAAAGACUUGCCUAUUACAUGUUGUUCAUAGAGCAAAGAACAAAUAACUGUGGCGCACCAGAAUGAUGGUUGUGACCUCACCUGUCAAGUAACAACCAUCCACCACAGAUCAGACCAAUUAACUAGAAGUAGCACAGUAUGUCUGGGACAAGUUAUCUCUUAGGAUAAGCAUAUAAUGUUCAGGGAAGCAUCUGUAGCUCUGGGCAGACCGGCAGAACCCUUUCACAAUUUAAAGUAAGCAAGUGAAAAUGACUAAUAGCUGUUGAGUGUCGAGCAUUGUAUCCUACCGAGUCACAUAUGCAGGUGCUAUUUGCAGUUUUGUUUCUCAUUUUCCACAUUCAACUGUCAUACUUAUGCUUUAUGUAUGGCAACUUUGUCAUAAAAAAAACUAUUUUAAGGAAAUCUACAAAAUGUUAUACUGACAUGCAAACUGUAUAUGGCACAAGAAUUUGUUUCUACACUUUUCAUUGCCUGGAAAAUAAUAAGCAAGAACCAAGGAGAAUAUCCUCAACGGUAGCUUAAACUAACUUUCUAAGCUAUCACUGACUUUCUCAGUUGGCUCCCUCAACUCGUGGUCAGCGGUUACGGUUCUUAAACUAACACAAUUUUCUCACUCUGGUAAAGCUCACUGAGGUGGAUGUUGGCGUCACAAUUUAGCAUGGGUGAAUAUUGAGAUGGACACUAAUGUGGCGAGUAAAAUGUUGGAAGCCUGUUUAUGUACUGAUAAUGAUAAUAGCCUGAUUUAGCGUGUUUCACUGGAUUUUGAGCUACGGCAUAUUCUUUCAGAUGAUUUAAAUGGAAAUGGUGUAAUGCGCGAAUUAUUAGCAAACAAAAUACCCAACAAAACAUAACAUUUGUUGUUCGUGCAUCAUCAGCGGUGCGCUAGAAAAUACAUUGGCUGUUAGUGGCGGAGCCAGGAUUGGCUGACGCCCUAGGCAAGAAAGGGCUAAAAACUACCCUAAAAAAAUUCUAGUUUCAAGGCAUACGAAAGUGAAUCUAUAUUGCACAACUAAUAAUACGCCAAACAUAAUAUUCAACGGCAAUAUUUGUUCCAUGAUGGGUCAACUAAUAAAGCAAGAUAAGUCAAAAGACAAUAUGUAGCGUAUAUAAAUGAUACAAAAGAUUGAUACCACCAAAUCAAAGGAUUAGUUGAUCUGAGCCUCCCAUGACUACAUCUUCAAUAGCAGAAGAUGCUAAACCUUGAAUGAUAAAUUUUGAAAUGCAAAUCGGUGUAAUAAUAUAACAGGUAAAAAGAGUUAAUAAUAGGUCUAAUUCAGGACUUUCAAAUCUAUUUUAUUUUAUCUAAUUCUAUCUACACCCCAGGGGCUAGGAACAAAACAGUCAUUUCCUUUUUCUGAUCAUAGAGAAGCCGUAUGAAGCUAAGGUUUCAUGUACAGUUUUGAAUUAACGGUGGGGGUUCUCAUCCUUCAGAGACUACGAGUGUAAUAGGAGCAUCCUUUGACAAAAGGAUCACCCUAAGAUGAUUAUCUCAUGGCUAUUGGGAACGAAUCAAAUCAGAUGGUUCUAUUUCUCAACCUUUCCCUUUAUUGGAUUUGAACCGAUGACUUAUGCCUUACACCAUGGCAUUACUCUACCACUGAGUUAAAAGGGCUUUUUAUUUAAUUCAAAAAUUAGCCUAGAUGCAAAAUUUGAGAACUUAUGUCUAGGACGAGGCAAAAGGUAUCUGCGAUUGCGAUAACCUUAAAAUCGCUCAAUGAACUUGAAUUUCAUGUACUCAUCUUGCCUUCCUGUAACAUUUUAAAGAAACAAAAUUACUAAAUGUCUAAAUAGGUUUCCACAUCUAACAAACAGUGGCAUCUAGCAAUGAAAAUCAUCAUCAAACAGUGACAUCUAGAAAACAAAACAAACGCAUCAAAGCAUUAAGCAAUACCUCUCUGCUCUGCUCUGUGUUGCGGCUCGGCUCCUGGCAAACCAGCACCUCGCCCGACGCCAGGAAGAAGGGAUCGAGCACCUCGCGGACGCCAAGCCUCGCCGGAGUCGCCGCCUCCGCGCCUCGCCGGACGGAGCAGCAGCCCGCAGCGCGACAGCGGCGCAACCUGACGCCCGCACGACCGCAGAAGUGAUCGAAGGGGCGGGCAACGGACUGGAGGGGGGAGGGGGGGUGGGGCGGCUGGAUAGGCUCGACCGGCGCGACGGCAGGUGGCGUUGGCGGGCGGCGCCGGCGGACGGCUGGUCCUGGUCGCCUAGGGUUUGUCCAAGUCUGGGGGAAGAAGGGGCGGCUCAGCGGCUGGU
This 2267-nucleotide long non-coding RNA is filed under the name Triticum aestivum (bread wheat). Its description in RNAcentral is "long non-coding RNA (TAES_LNC003776)". The record is from RNAcentral. Lineage: Eukaryota; Viridiplantae; Streptophyta; Magnoliopsida; Poales; Poaceae.